GCGGAGCUUUUAAAACUCCCACUCCAGACCAAUUAAAUCAGAACCUCCGAGUGUGGGACCCACGCAACAGAAGUUGUAAAGCUGCCCAGGUGACUGCAAUCUGCAGCCAAGGUUGAGAACUGCUGAGUUGCGGGUCUGUGUUUUCAGAUACAGCAGCUCCAAUAGCUACAAAGUCCACAUUCUGGAGCAAAUAAGUGAAGCAAAAAUGAAGCCGCCCUGAGAACUACGACAAAGAAUUCAGAAGCACCAGUUAGAGUCAGUGUCAGAUUCAGGGCUUCUCGGUCAUUGCUCCAUCCUCUUCAGCCACUGCAAAAGGAGGAAUAAGAAUUGUUUUAAAACACAGCUGCAGCCAAACCAGCACACUCUACAUAAAGCCUCUCCUGAAAUUUCCAAAUCUGAACAAAUUUGCACUUGUGGCCUGGCCUCUGGGUAAGAUUUAGUCCUGCCCAAGAAAGAGGAGACAAGGAGAGCUUCUCAAAGCCCUCCAGACUUCAAGUUCUCUGGACUGUAGGGCCUCCGCUAGCCAGGCACAACAGGAAAUUGGAAUGACUCUCUAGGAGCCCAAACCCAUUAAACGUGCUGGGAAUGCGUUCUGUAGUCAUUAACGGAGUUCUACACUCUGAGGGGGAAGAUAUCCAAUGAAUACCUCAGCCUUCCGUUCUGUAAUCCUAGGAAGGUGAUCUGCUCAGGAGGCCAGUUACAUGCGACAGUGCCAGGCGCUCUGAGUCCUCCAGGGAUCCAGAACCAGUCUAUUUUUCCUCUAGUGUGGCUCAUUGCACAGGCCCAAGCCUGUCCCACUACAAGCAUAAAAUGGUAUAUUUUAAGGGUGAUCAAGCACUAAAUGUUCUCCAGGACAGAGAUCUAAGAAGUUUGGGCAGUCAUUGGAUUAUGAUCCUCUCAGAAAACUGGUGCCAUGUCAGGCCUACUUUUUACUCUAGUCUCUCUGGUGGUUUGACGCUGGACUUCAGUGAUGCUGCAGAAGUUAGUUGGUUAGUUUCUGACUCCGCCUAUGGUGACAGUCCUUCAUGUCACAGCAAGGUCCUUACUUUCCUGUGAGGUUGCAACGGCAACAAUAGAACAGCAAUGAUAAUAAAAACAGCUGGGUGCUAUAUAUAUAUAUAAUCUUAUUAAAAUUUUAAGCCUACAGGAUAGGCAUUAUUAAAUCUAUGUAAGAGAUGAGAUCGAAGCAUAGCAAUAUGAAGUCAUCUCCAAGGACAUUGCUAUUAAGUGGCAGACCUGGGAUUCAAGCACAGUCUGUGUGACUCUAAGACUGCUCUCU
RNAcentral lists this long non-coding RNA (1279 nucleotides) under Equus caballus (horse). Its description in RNAcentral is "lncRNA (ENSECAG00000048205.1)". Lineage: Eukaryota; Metazoa; Chordata; Mammalia; Perissodactyla; Equidae. The record is from RNAcentral.